Long non-coding RNA from Metopolophium dirhodum (rose-grain aphid), 1228 nucleotides. RefSeq lists it as uncharacterized. Lineage: Eukaryota; Metazoa; Arthropoda; Insecta; Hemiptera; Aphididae. The transcript has 5 exons. The record is from RefSeq and is a predicted model, not a curated record.
GCGACCAUGCGGCAGCCGUGACUGCUACCCAUACUAAGUACUAACCCCUACUCCCACCACCAUGGUCAACAAACACGCUGUCACAGGAUGUCCACGGAGGAUUAUAGUCUGAACACGACCGGCUUUUGAGAGUUUGUUGUGUGUGUGUGUGUGUGUUGGGUUGACGGUGGUUGGGGGCGGGUCUUAAGAUUUGGCGUUCACUACGAGAGAGAUCCAUUCUAGGUAUCAUUUUCGGUUUGACUGCCUCCAGAUAAAGAACUCGCGUAUUCCGUGUAAUUCGUUUCAUCGAGUACGUGCAAAACUCACCCGAUGAUAUUCCAGAAAACGAGUGGGUCUAUUUUCAUAUCACCGAACGGGCAGUACUCCGAAUCUUCCAAUACCAAAUCAUUGUGAAUAUUAGGAUUUUCAUUGACAUGCGCCCUUGGCUCGCUCGAUUGUUGAGGAUACCAGUGAUACCACGUUAGUCUUGUCGAAGUCCAACGUUACUCGCUAGAAAAGCGCUCAAUACUUCUCCGGUCAGAAGCGUUGAGAUUUGUCACUAAAGGUCCAUCAAAGAACGGAGAUUUUAUAAACACAGGAAUAAGCUUGCCGUCAGAAUACCAUUCAUAUUCAGAGAACAUGGACGACAUCGGAUACGAAUAUAUUGAAGACCUAGUGUUGCCCAAUAAUUUUGGAAACCGCAGAAACCGCAAAUCCAUAGACUUAUUCAUGACAUUAUGUAUGGCAAUUUUUUUAAUUAUAUGGACAUUUAUUUUUAUCCGUCGGAAUAUACAAGGUGUUAGGUGGAAUUAGAUAUUCAUAUCGCAUCCACAGGAAGAUUAUUAAUCAGACGCACUUAAGGCGCAGUGCAUUAUGAAAACCUACGACUAUAAAGACCAUACCAUCUAUAUUGCAUCAUGUCAUCGAUCAAAACAAAAUACAGACGGGACACGCGGUUGCUUCCAGCAGUGCCUCAACGGGAAGGACAGGACUGCUACAUCAAACUGCCACCCAAUAUGGUCACGAGUCCGAUUCUGCAAUUCACACUAUUCGGGUGCCCAUUUUCCAGUGGGCACAUGGAUGAGCUGGACUACCUACUUAUGGCUUGUUGCGGGCUAAAAUAUAGUGGCACCUACUUCUCUUUAACAAGCUUCUAUUUGACGAAACUGUACAUUACUUAGGAUAAUUUAAAUGUAUUUUUAUUUUUAUGUAUUUAUUAAUAUUAUGUAAUAUUAUUUAUGUGAAUUUU